Molecule: long non-coding RNA, 570 nt
Filed under: Elaeis guineensis (African oil palm)
Lineage: Eukaryota; Viridiplantae; Streptophyta; Magnoliopsida; Arecales; Arecaceae
Description: long non-coding RNA (EGUI_LNC016267)
Source: RNAcentral
UUGCCAAAAAGAUCGUGCAAAGUCACAAUGGAUGAUCACAUGCGCACAAUCCUCAAUUGGAUCCAGGCAUAGAUCACAAAAUUGAGUAUUUGCAGUAAUAAUAGUGUAGUGUGCCAGUAAAGCUCUGUACUGAAGUUUAUCCCACACAAGCUUUCAGAGAAAUAUUUUAACUUUUGAAGGCACCUUCAAUGCCCAAAUCCACCCGGAGUCCACCUGCACUGGAUGAUAGUAGUCAAGAAUGAUCAAACCUUUUAUAUCUUGUAGAGAUACCUGCAAGCAUUUAGAUGAAGCUCACAUGAGUUUAUCCAGCCAUGCACCCUAGGUCAAAGGAAUAUUACCAAUUAGAUUGAUUAGAUCAGUUGAAAAAAAUAAAGAGAGAUACUAUAAAUCCCAACAUCCAUAAGCCGUAAUAAAAUGAGAUACCUGUAGUUGAGAUUUAUAUUAUCUAAAUUUAUGUAAGUUGGCCAAAAUAUGAUGGGAAUAUUUGUAAUCCAAGGCUCUUUGUAAAUAUUAAUUGAAUUACCUAUUCUAACCAACCAUUGAAACUAAAAUUUAAUGUGAGACACAGCC